This 503-nucleotide ribosomal RNA is filed under the name uncultured bacterium. RNAcentral describes it as "bacterial SSU rRNA". It matches the Rfam family "Bacterial small subunit ribosomal RNA", at positions 355 to 873 of the family's 1533-position model. The record is from RNAcentral.
UGGGGAAUCUUGGACAAUGGGGGCAACCCUGAUCCAGCCAUGCCGCGUGAGUGAUGAAGGCCUUAGGGUCGUAAAGCUCUUUCGCCUGUGAAGAUAAUGACGGUAGCAGGUAAAGAAACCCCGGCUAACUCCGUGCCAGCAGCCGCGGUAAUACGGAGGGGGUUAGCGUUGUUCGGAAUUACUGGGCGUAAAGCGCACGUAGGCGGACCAGAAAGUUGGGGGUGAAAUCCCGGGGGCUCAACCCCGGAACUGCCUCCAAAACUAUUGGUCUAGAGUUCGAGAGAGGUGAGUGGAAUUCCAAGUGUAGAGGUGAAAUUCGUAGAUAUUUGGAGGAACACCAGUGGCGAAGGCGGCUCACUGGCUCGAUACUGACGCUGAGGUGCGAAAGUGUGGGGAGCAAACAGGAUUAGAUACCCUGGGUAGUCCACACCGUAAAACGAUGAAUGCCAGUCGUCGGGUAGCAUGCUAUUCGGUGACACACCUAACGGAUUAAGCAUUCCGCC